CAACGAAAUGAAUGGAACAACUGUCAUACUCCUGAUUUGUUACAGGCAUUUUCAAUUGAAAAUGGUGAGUUAAAUCUGUCUUCAUAGCUAGCUCAACCUCCCACUUGUAUGAAAAUUGUUCAAAGUUCAAUAAUAUUGACAAAUUUGGGCGAGCAACCCAAACAGACAUAAUAGGUUAAUGUGACAAUAAUUGGGACAUAGCAGCAAAAACUGUGUAAAUAUACAUCAAAGACACACAACACAACUAAAUAAAAUAUUGUAGUUGAUAGUACAUUCAGUAUACAUUUUCUCGAUAAAGUAAAAUGAAAUAAGAAAUAAAAAAAGGAAAUACAUAAUGAAAUAGAUACAACGAUUAAAAUGGGUACGCCAGACGCGUAAAAGCAACACUAUAAAACCUCUGCACCUAUCUGCAUUAUGAACGCUCAAAGCCAAAGACCCAAUAGCUGGAAGAAUAAAUACCGAUUCACGUCAAAAAGACAUAAGACCAAA
Molecule: long non-coding RNA, 489 nt
Filed under: Mytilus galloprovincialis (Mediterranean mussel)
Lineage: Eukaryota; Metazoa; Mollusca; Bivalvia; Mytilida; Mytilidae
Source: RNAcentral